GACGAACGCUGGCGGCGUGCUUAACACAUGCAAGUCGAACGGAAAGGCCCUCCUUUGGGGUACUGCAGUGGCGAACGGGUGAGUAACACGAGAGGAAUCUACCCUCGACGUUUGGAUAAUAUCAGGAAACAGGGGCUAAUACCGGCUAGGAGCUCCUGCUGCAGGGUGGGGGGGGGAGAGAUUCGGCGGCUGGGGAUGGACUCGCGGCUUAUCAGCAUGUUGGUGGGGUAGUGGCUCACCAAGGCUUUGUCGGGUAGCCGGCCUGAGAGGGUGACCGGCCACAUUGGGACUGAGAUACGGCCCAGACUCCUACGGGAGGCAGCAGUGGGGAAUAUUGCACAAUGGGCGGAAGCCUGAUGCAGCAACGCCGCGUGCGGGAUGACGGCCUUCGGGUUGUAAACCGCUUUCGCCUGUGGCGAAGCGUGAGUGACGGUAAUGGGUAAAGAAGCACCGGCUAACUACGUG
Molecule: ribosomal RNA, 465 nt
Filed under: uncultured bacterium
Lineage: Bacteria
Description: partial 16S ribosomal RNA
Rfam family: Bacterial small subunit ribosomal RNA
Source: RNAcentral